Non-coding RNA from Podarcis lilfordi (Lilford's wall lizard), 1032 nucleotides. Lineage: Eukaryota; Metazoa; Chordata; Lepidosauria; Squamata; Lacertidae. The record is from the annotation of a GenBank genome assembly.
GGAUUGUGUGAUUCUAAGCACAGAGACCUGGGUUCAAAUUUCUACUCAGCUGUGAUCUUUCAACCUAACCUAAAUGUCUUGCAGGGUUUUGCUGUCGUUUUUCUAGGAUAAAAUGGGAGCCACUCCCAUGUUCAUUAGGGCGGAAGAUGGGUAUACAUAUGUGGCUUUAGAAAAAGUGUUUUUAAGUCAUGUUGCGUACUCAUUUUCCUGUUCUAAAUGUGUGCACUUUCUAAUCUGACUCAAGUGCUCCCUUCUCCUUGCUUGGGGAGAUGUGGACUGUGUUUUCAUGUGCUUGCAUCUUGCCUCAGAUGUUUGGAGGCAGAAUUCGGGAGGAGGCGAUUGUCCAGUGUUCUGAAACUGACUAAAACUGUGCAAAUCCCACCGCCCUGUGAGUAUAUUUGCAUCUUUACACUGACUAGUGUAUGAAUGGGCAUUGUUACAACACUUGCGAUAUCUGGUACCCAAGAUUCAGAGACAGACCCAUUCAGGAGAGAGGAUGCAACAAAUAAAAACGAUCUGUACAUCAUUUCCCGCGUGAGACUUCACCAUGAGCUCAAGUGGUAAAAAAAAAUAGCGCCAGGGGUGCAUUUGGGAAACGGAUGAGGCAAAAAAACCCCAGAUAGGUGCUCUGUAUCUAUACCGGAACAGGCAUGCACAAACUUCAUUCAGAAGGGGACAAAGGUUUGCUACCGCAGUUCUUCCUGACCCAAUGAAUGCACAGAGCAACAGUUUCCUUUCAGAUGCGUCCGGCAAGGAAUUAAGAAUGGAUGUGUGCUUUUCCAUCCCGAUGUCGCUAUGCUGACCUGCAGCAACCAAACGGAGGAGGCUUUCGAUGUAUAAACCGGAGUUCUCCAUUUUAGGCUGGAUUUUGUAAUAUCCCAACGUUGUUGCUUUUUAAAGAUGGAAGGUGCUUGCAUCUCUCAGCAAGGGGUUUGCCACUCAGAGCCUUUGCUGGAAAGUUCGUUCUUGUGUGCAAUGGAAUACCUUUUAGGCAGAUUAAGAAAGGCUGAUUCCUUGGUUGGAUGGAACUGA